CCUACGGGCGGCAGCAGUGAGGAAUAUUGGUCAAUGGACGAGAGUCUGAACCAGCCAAGUAGCGUGAAGGAUGACUGCCCUAUGGGUUGUAAACUUCUUUUAUAUCGGAAUAAAAUGUUCCACGUGUGGGAUUUUGUAUGUACCAUAUGAAUAAGGAUCGGCUAACUCCGUGCCAGCAGCCGCGGUAAUACGGAGGAUCCGAGCGUUAUCCGGAUUUAUUGGGUUUAAAGGGAGCGUAGGUGGAUUGUUAAGUCAGUUGUGAAAGUUUGCGGCUCAACCGUAAAAUUGCAGUUGAAACUGGCAGUCUUGAGUACAGUAGAGGUGGGCGGAAUUCGUGGUGUAGCGGUGAAAUGCUUAGAUAUCACGAAGAACUCCGAUUGCGAAGGCAGUUCACUGGACUGCAACUGACACUGAGGCUCGAAAGUGUGGGUAUCAAACAGGAUUAGAUACCCCAGUAGUC
RNAcentral lists this ribosomal RNA (460 nucleotides) under uncultured bacterium. Its description in RNAcentral is "partial 16S ribosomal RNA". It matches the Rfam family "Bacterial small subunit ribosomal RNA", at positions 338 to 795 of the family's 1533-position model. The record is from RNAcentral.